RNAcentral lists this long non-coding RNA (4174 nucleotides) under Phaseolus vulgaris (common bean). Its description in RNAcentral is "long non-coding RNA (PVUL_LNC000054)". Lineage: Eukaryota; Viridiplantae; Streptophyta; Magnoliopsida; Fabales; Fabaceae. The record is from RNAcentral.
GAGAUGCUUCAGGAGUUGUAUGUCUCUAUGUUCAGCUCAAAAACUUACGAUGGAAUGCAAUAGGGCUGCUGUAACGAAAAUGUCUAUUAUCAAGUUUGGCCAAUAUCUCCAAAAGAUUAACUGCAUUUAAUCCCUACUAAAAGAUAAUAGGUUAGCUGGUGUAUGUCAAUUGAAAUUUGAUAAUGAUACUAUAUCAUUUGUACGUAUCAGAAUAAAUUGACAUUGGACAAAAGCAAAAAAGUGGUUUUGCAAUAUCUUGUGUUAACAUUCUCAUUCAAGUCAAAAUUUCCAAGUUCAGUUGGAUUACACAAGGAAAAAUACAGCAUAACAAAAUUCAUAAUAAAAGAAAGUUCUUUCUCUACAAAUUUGGCUCAACCAAUCUAUCUGAGCUCCAUUAUAACAUGAUUUACAGCUCUGUCAAGAGAAGUGAGGUUUAGAAACUCAUCCUCCUUGCAUGGAAAUGUAAGACCACCAGCUGGAUGAUCAUAUCCAAACUCUUCUUUUGCUCGACUUACCAAUUCUUGAAAAUAAGGUUGAUCUAAGAAAGAUUCUGGAAUCACAAACGGCCGCAUCUUAUCUCUAACAUAGAUUGCAAGAUGGCCUUUUGGGAUUUCAAGUCCCUUGAAGUUGAUUUGGCUGCAGAAAAUGAUGGCUGUCUAAUAAUACCUGGUAUGAGGAAACCAUUGUAUUUUUUACUCUACAAACAAAUAAUAUUCCGAGUAUUGUCGAAAGGCUUGUAUGAGAAAGAAAUAUUUUAAUUGUGAUGCUUGAGGAUGUAAAUGAAUUGUGUUGCUUGAGCACAAAAAACAGUGUAUAUGUAGUCGCUCAUGGAUCCUCUGCAUCUGCAAUCCAAUUCCUCCAUUAGUGAUUUUUUACAGCGCUAUGAACAGUUCUAUUGAGGGACAAGGGAUCAAAUGGUGUUGUCAUCGAGAUUUAUUCCAAGGAUUAGGAAGAUAAAUGGGAGUGUAUACCAUACCCCACCUUCUGAGAUAAUGGCCAACAUAUUUACCCACUUGAACUUAAAUACAUCAACAAUGGUGAAAUGUAAUGCUUGUUCAUUCAUUGAGCUGUAGCUAUUUCAUUGCUAGACAUGCUUUAGACAUCACCCAUGUUUCUUUGAAGAAGAUAUAUAAAAUAUAUAAGUGGCAAGAAACAAGCUGUAAACCUUGAGACUUGACCAUAGCUGAUUGCAGCUUUGAAACAGCGUUUGGAGAUAAGAAGAGAACCAACAUUGAAUACUUGAUCACGAGGCACUAUGGACCACAUUUUUUAUGUACAUCAAAUUCUAGGCAAACAUCGUGUGUAAUUUGCAUAAAUAAAGUUUGUGGCUACUACUGUGUCAACAUGAUCAGUUAGUUUUCCUUUUUCACAUAUGCACGUUUUAUUUUAAGUGGGGUAAUCUGUUCCAGAAGGUGGGACUUGGUUAUGUUAUCUACUGCAACAUGUUGCGUUGAAUCAGUAGAAAGUCCUCUAAGACAACACCAUAUGCUUUGCCUCUCAUUUGGUCCCAUAACUCCAACUCAUAGCCCUCUUUCACCAAUAAUCCAAGUAGCCUAUGGUUUCUUGCAUAUCCUUUGAUCUAUGUAUAUAUAUUUGUUGCUAAGAGAACUUAGGACCAACACAAAUCAUUCACACCCUGAAGCAUUCAAAGUUCAUUUUAAAAGUCUUUUCUUAGACCAUUCUCUUCUCCAGUCUCUAACACAAUCAAUAUAGCAAUGGGUUUUCGUUUACCUCUCAUGAGAAGGACAUUAUUUGCUGGAAAUCACACAUCUUCAAAAGCGGUGGAUGUACCAAAGGGCUAUUUUGCAGUCUAUGUUGGAGAGAAAAUGAAGCGGUUUGUGAUUCCUCUAUCAUACUUGAACCAACCUUCUUUCCGAGAAUUGUUGAGUCAAGCUGAAGAGGAGUUUGGAUAUAAUCAUCCCAUGGGUGGCCUUACAAUUCCUUGCAGCGAAGAUGCUUUCCAGCAUAUAACUUCAUGCUUGAAUGGGAUAUAAAUCCCACACUUUAGAAGACUGACAUAGAUUAGGAGAGACAUUUUGUACAGUAGAAUUAACUAUCUGAAUGACAAAUUAAGAGUAUGCUCUGUCUCUUUUCUUGCAUUAUAUCAAUGAAUUGCAUUUUUCAAAUGGCUUCUUCGUGUUUUCUGUCCAUUAGUUAAAAUGUUAAUUUGUCCCUUGAAUAAAAAAUUACAAAUCAUGUGUAAGGCUGCUUGAUCUAGGAAAACACUACAGUUGGCUGAACUAAUAAAUUUCAAAGCUGGAACAGAACAUGCGAUUACUUGUCAGGGAAGUGCAAGAGUAUAUUUCUUAGGAGUUAGGAAGAUAUAGAAAGAUGAUAUACUCAGGGAGAAGUUAAAUUAAUUUUUUAUAGACCAAAAAUAUGUAUCUUUUUUUUUUCUUUCAAGAUUAUACAUAUGAAAUCAAGAUUUUUGAGGAGCAUUGACCCAGAUCAUACAUGAAGUGCCUUCUCUGCCUAGGUAGGUCCACAAGAACAAUGACAUUGGGGUGGUUUUUACAACAACAAAGGCUAAUCCCAGUAGGUGAGAUAAGUUAUAUGAAUCACACAACGCUAUUUAGCUACUUGUGUUAAAGGUCAACUAUAUUUCCACUGCAAUUUUAAAUUUCUCAUGCUAAAUAGUGCAAUAACAUCCAAGUGGAAAUGAAAAAAAAAAUCUCUAGGUGAUUUGAGAAACCAAAAUAUCUAUAUUUACUAGCCUAUAGGAUAUUUGACCAAUCUCUUUAAAGAUUUCCUUGUAUCCAAGUAAGCUCACAAACUUUGGAUUGGUUCUAUCAACUGGAUAAUCAUCUAGUCAGAGUAACUGAGCAAAUCAAUAGAAAUCCAAUUUUAAUUUUGGUAUCUUUUAGUUACAAGUAACAGUCUACACAACAUUUCAAGUCCUGUGUUGUAGGGACUAUACAAUGGAUGCUCCUUUGCACUAUUUUUAUUACGUGGAGGGUGAAACAGAUACACAUAUCCCCACUACAGUAGACAUUUAUUUUACUGCUUUAGUCAUCAGAAAGUGGUAGUUUAUUAACUUGAAGAACCGAAGUAUAUGUUUUGAGACUGUCUGGAUCAUAAGAAGAAGGCCAUUAUAUUGGUUAUGCAAUUAUUUGCUUAUUGGCUGUAAAGUUUCUUUCUGAAGUGCAACCAGGUUGGCAUGGAUUCUCAAUUCUCAAAUAAUCCCUCACCAAAAUCAUGUAGGCAAUAUCAUGUGACACCUCAUUAGCCCUUGUCUCUCACUAGACCCCAUCAAGCAUCAAAUUCCCCACCAACCAUCGAGUUCAUCAGAGAACCGAUUUCACAGACUCGUAUAUCUAUCUAUAUAUACUCACAAUGACAUUCUCAAGCAAUGCAAGUCAGUCACAAAGUAUUCAAACAUUUCUUUCACACACAAGCUCUUGCAUUCUUUGGUAUUGUUCUCUGUGCAAUUCAUCUAAAAAAACAUGGGCUUCCGCUUACCCGGUAUUAGAAGAUCAUCUUUUUCAGUGACCAAAGCAGCUUCCAAGGCUGUGGAGGUCCCCAAAGGCUAUCUAGCAGUCUAUGUCGGAGAGAAAAUGAAGCGGUUUGUGAUUCCUAUUUCAUACUUGAAUCAACCUUUAUUUCAAGAAUUAUUGAGCCAAGCUGAGGAAGAAUUCGGGUAUGACCAUCCAAUGGGUGGUAUCACAAUACCUUGCAGGGAAGAUGCUUUCUUAGACAUCACUUCUCGUUUGAAUAGGCUAUAAAUCAUAUUGGAGGAGACUGACAUAGAAUAGUUGAGGCAAAGUGUACAGAAGACAAUUUUAUUCAUUUAUUAUCCUUCUUUUGUAAGUGGAAAAAACCAUCUAAGUGGGGUAAUUAUUAACAGAAAUGUUAUAUUUCUAUUUUGGUCAAGUUUCAAUGAAUUUUACCUAUACACUUUCUCUGCCAAAUUUUAUUUAUAUUAACAGCCACUGUUAUGUACAUUCUCUUAAACGCACUUUUCUUCUCCCUAUGCUGUUCUGCUGCUACUGUUGUACAGCUAAAGCAAAUGUAAGUUUAUCCUAACAGACCUGUCGUACAAUAGUGCAUGAUCCAUGCCCUUGAGCUUUUUCUUACAAUAAAUUUGUGAUAAUGUUGUCCUUUUAGAGGAGGGAGUUGUAGUGAGAUGAAUCGGAGUUAAAAACUUGAAAAAUAAAUUUGACAGUGUAAAAUAUGC